UACACUUUAGUAUAUAUUGUAUAAAAGUUUUUGAUACUUUAGGUAAUAGGUUAUUCUGUUAAGUGUAU
This 68-nucleotide transfer RNA is filed under the name Curculionidae sp. KM-2017. RNAcentral describes it as "tRNA-Gln". The record is from RNAcentral. Lineage: Eukaryota; Metazoa; Arthropoda; Insecta; Coleoptera; Curculionidae.